ACUCAUGAUGCAUCAGGACAUCCACCUGAAUUAAAGUCAUACAGCUGUGAUAAGUGUGGGAAAAGUUUUACCAAAAAAAAAUUAACUUGAAUGUUCACCAGCGCAUCCACUCCAGAGUAAAACCAUGUAAGUGUGACCAGUGCGGGAAGAGAUUCACUCAGAAAGGGAAUAUGAAGAACCAUCAGUAAAGCCACACCAUGGAAAAGUCUUUCACCUGUCAUCAGUGUGGGAAGUGUUAUAUUUACAAGCAGUCUCUUACACAACAUAAGAAGUCUCAUCAACAUGAAAUAUAUUCACCUCAGGUCUAAAGUUUUAUUUGGUUGACAUACAAAGAUCUCAGAGAGGUCAACAAAAGAUAUGUCUGACCUGAGUUAAGGCAUUUCAAUACAAAUUAUGUGAAAGCACCUU
This is a long non-coding RNA of Poecilia latipinna (sailfin molly), 408 nucleotides long. RefSeq lists it as uncharacterized. NCBI's taxonomy places the organism in Eukaryota, Metazoa, Chordata, Actinopteri, Cyprinodontiformes, Poeciliidae. The record is from RefSeq and is a predicted model, not a curated record. The transcript is spliced from 4 exons.